Molecule: long non-coding RNA, 1107 nt
Filed under: Cricetulus griseus (Chinese hamster)
Lineage: Eukaryota; Metazoa; Chordata; Mammalia; Rodentia; Cricetidae
Description: lncRNA (ENSCGRG00015041895.1)
Source: RNAcentral
CCUAUCCCAUCCCCUUAUUUGGGGUGUUUCUAUUGUUUUCUAGAAAGAAACAGUUUAAUAAUCCACAUCCUGUCGCCUCUUCCUAACUCUCUUUCAUCCUUGACUCAUCCUCGUAAAACAACCGACUGAAUCUGGAGAGAACACAGCACACCAAAGAAGCAGAGAAUACUGCAAACCAAAGACAUUUAUUACCUGCCAUUUUUUAGCCUACAAAUACUGUGAUUACUUUUAGAGAUCAAAACACCUCUGUAACUCUGAGUGGCAUUCAGCUCUUGACGUGGGCUCACCAUCUGGCCGAGCAAACCAACUCUGUCAAUGACAUUCGCCAAGCAUCCAGGCAGUGGCUUCACCCUGCCAGCUCUGGUUGUCAUUUUCCCAUAGCAAGUGGAAGAGGGCCCACAGAACUCUGGGAGAUUACACAGGUCACUAUGUGCAUAUUUACCAGUGAAUGGCCCCAGGUGGGCACCGUGGGGUGUUCAAAACAAGCCAAACACUGCAAUGAUUCUUUACAGACACUUAAGACUGACUUUUGUAUGAAUUACUUAAUUGAAACCAAAGAAACUUUUUCUGCACCUACUUCUGCAACAAACAAAACUGUCCCAUUAACUGAGUAAAUGAUUCCAGCAAUCACUGGAAAUCACCACCAAGAAAAGCACGCUAGAAUAAAAACAAAAAACCAAAAAACACCGAAGACACACUGUGUUCAAACAGACCUCUUGGGACAUUUUUUUUUUUUUUUUUUUUUGGAAGCAGAUUUGAAAGAAAGGGUUGAGACAAGAAUCAAAAUACAGAAGAGCCUCCGAGGCUGCUGCUUCUUUUGACAACUCACUCGGUAAUCUUAAAGUUGAAGAUUGUCUUUAAUUUGUGCCUAUGCAGUUUUUUCAAAAGAACAUGGAACAGAGCAACAGAAACCUCAACAGCUACAAUACCAAAGAUGAGGAUUCUCACACCUUUUUCUCAGUUCAUUACCUUCUUUUGCCUGGCUAAAAUACUUAUAGCGUCGUUGAUCUGUACAAAGGUAAUUGAUUCUGUUUCUUUGAGCAACAAAAGGAAAGGGUCAUUUGUUUGAUUUUAUUGCUUCCCUUUAGUUUUGUUUUAUGGCUUUUU